UUCUUCAGGGCAGGGUGUAAUUCCCGACCGGCGGUUAAAGUCCGCGAGCUGUUAUCUGUAUAAUGGCUGAACUUGUGUAAUUCAAGUACCGACAGUAAAGUCUGGAUGAAAGAAGAA
This 117-nucleotide non-coding RNA is filed under the name zebrafish metagenome. Its description in RNAcentral is "FMN riboswitch (RFN element)". It matches the Rfam family "FMN riboswitch aptamer (RFN element)". From Rfam's summary of the family: The RFN element is a highly conserved domain that is found frequently in the 5'-untranslated regions of prokaryotic mRNAs that encode for flavin mononucleotide (FMN) biosynthesis and transport proteins. This element is a metabolite-dependent riboswitch that directly binds FMN in the absence of proteins. In Bacillus subtilis, the riboswitch most likely controls gene expression by causing premature transcription termination within the 5' untranslated region of the ribDEAHT operon and precluding access to the ribosome-binding site of ypaA mRNA. The record is from RNAcentral.